Long non-coding RNA from Oncorhynchus mykiss (rainbow trout), 1122 nucleotides. RefSeq lists it as uncharacterized. NCBI's taxonomy places the organism in Eukaryota, Metazoa, Chordata, Actinopteri, Salmoniformes, Salmonidae. The record is from RefSeq and is a predicted model, not a curated record.
UUAGAAACUCUGUGUUAUCAAGGACUCCAUAUUAACUUCUCCAUUGGAUUGGUCGAACAGUGCAAAAUAAAACCUCCCCCUACAGUUUUCUCUCUCGUCAACACCAGUAUGCGGGCAAUCUAGUUUCAGACGUUUUUUAUUUUUUUAAGAUAAUUACAGUAUUUUUAAUGGGAGGAAAAUUGAGGGGAGGGCUUUAGGAUUUGUGUGACAGUUCAACAGCGCAAUCUCCGUACAGGGCAGUCAGACGGCUGGGGGCAAAAAAAUCGUAGAACUGGUUCUCGUAAGAGCUCGCAAGGGGGUGUCAAAUACGGACAUUGCCCCCCCCCCCCCGGGAAUAUAGCAUUUACUGAUGAUGUUGGUGUCUUUGAAGAGUUUCUGCUGCCUCUCCAGCUUCUAGACAAGAUCAUCUCUGACAGUGCAACAACCUGUCCAGCAUUUGACAAAGAUGCGAAGUGAACGAGUGCCAGACUUUGUGGGGAAAUGUCCAGACCGCAGCUCUUCACGUGAGACACAUCCAGAUUUGGGGUAACAUCUCCCAAUUGUCACGCCCAGCUGUUCAGACCAGAGAUGGAUCAAGAGCUCAACCUCUGCCACUAUUUCGGCAGAGAACAGACAGUGGACUAAACUCCAGGGAUGUAUGGGGAUACAGGAGAGACUGGCAACUACAGACAGCUCCAGGCUGGACCUGUCUGUCCCCUCUCUCUCUCUCUCUCUCCUCUAUCCUCAUCUUUCUGUCCCCUCCAUUGCUUGUAGACGACGACGACGACGAUGAUAUCUGUCAAGUCUUGUCCUGUUAUUUUCAUAACUAGGCAUCGAACAGAACAUAUGUCGGCUAGUUGGUGGAAUCAUCCCCAGAAUUGGUUUCAUUUGCAUUUAAAGUUAUUCACAGACAUCUCGGUAGGUUUUUUUUUCCCCUCCUGAAAUGGAGGAUCUCUGUUCUACUGCCUUUUUUUAGUAACCCAAUAAUCACCCUUUUGUCUGAACCAAGCAAUUUACCAUUAUAAUGAACAAAGUAUAGGUCUAGUUUCAGAUGUGCUGUGGACAGUGAGUUUGUUGUUGUUCUGAAAGGCCUCGUUCCCAACCUUCAACAACGGAGUAAAACAUAGUAGAUGUUGCAAACUG